AUCCAGCUGACGAGUCCCAAGUAGGACUAAGUGAGGAUCCUGGAU
RNAcentral lists this non-coding RNA (45 nucleotides) under Trichobilharzia regenti. The record is from RNAcentral. Lineage: Eukaryota; Metazoa; Platyhelminthes; Trematoda; Strigeidida; Schistosomatidae.